This 364-nucleotide ribosomal RNA is filed under the name uncultured fungus. RNAcentral describes it as "LSU rRNA". It matches the Rfam family "Eukaryotic large subunit ribosomal RNA", at positions 65 to 424 of the family's 3401-position model. Lineage: Eukaryota; Fungi. The record is from RNAcentral.
CCAACAGGGAUUGCCUCAGUAACGGCGAGUGAAGCGGCAAGAGCUCAGAUUUGAAAUCCGGCAUGCUAUGUGUGCCCGAGUUGUAAUCUGGAGAGAGGUCUUCGGCUUAGGCAUCGGUCAAGAUUCCUUGGAAUAGGAUGACACAGAGGGUGAGAAUCCCGUACCUGGCUGACCGCCAACGCCAUGUGAAGCUUCUUCGACGAGUCGAGUUGUUUGGGAAUGCAGCUCUAAAUGGGUGGUAAAUUACAUCUAAAGCUAAAUAUCUGCGAGAGACCGAUAGCGCACAAGUAGAGUGAUCGAAAGAUGAAAAGCACCUUGAAAAGAGAGUUAAAAAGUACGUGAAAUUGUUGAAAGGGAAGCGCUU